GGCUGGAUAGCUCAGUUGGUAGAGCACCGGUACGGUAUCCCGGAGGUCCCAGGUUCAAAUCCCGCUCCAGUCA
This 73-nucleotide transfer RNA is filed under the name Acanthaster planci (crown-of-thorns starfish). RNAcentral describes it as "tRNA-Thr". It matches the Rfam family "tRNA". Rfam says of the family: Transfer RNA (tRNA) molecules are approximately 80 nucleotides in length. Their secondary structure includes four short double-helical elements and three loops (D, anti-codon, and T loops). Lineage: Eukaryota; Metazoa; Echinodermata; Asteroidea; Valvatida; Acanthasteridae. The record is from Rfam by way of RNAcentral.